Molecule: ribosomal RNA, 253 nt
Filed under: uncultured bacterium
Lineage: Bacteria
Description: partial 16S ribosomal RNA
Rfam family: Bacterial small subunit ribosomal RNA
Source: RNAcentral
UACGUAGGGGGCAAGCGUUGUUCGGAAUUACUGGGCGUAAAGGGCGCGUAGGCGGCACGGCAAGUCGGGAGUGAAAGCCCGGGGCUCAACCCCGGAACGUCUCACGAAACUGCCGAGCUAGAGUGCGGAAGAGGCAACUGGAAUUCCCAGUGUAGCGGUGAAAUGCGUAGAUAUUGGGAGGAACACCAGUGGCGAAGGCGGCUCGCUGGACCGGUUCUGACGCUGAUGCGCGAAAGCGUGGGGAGCAAACGGG